Aureobasidium pullulans is the source of this 97-nucleotide small nucleolar RNA. It matches the Rfam family "A. fumigatus snoRNA Afu_190". The record is from Rfam. Lineage: Eukaryota; Fungi; Ascomycota; Dothideomycetes; Dothideales; Saccotheciaceae.
CUAUGAUGAGACAACCAGCUGGCACCAGUCCUAGAAAGACUUGUACUCUUUUUGCUGCGGAAUAGCUUUGCACGGGACUAGACUCCCUAAUUCUGAU